Podarcis lilfordi (Lilford's wall lizard) is the source of this 73-nucleotide non-coding RNA. The record is from the annotation of a GenBank genome assembly. NCBI's taxonomy places the organism in Eukaryota, Metazoa, Chordata, Lepidosauria, Squamata, Lacertidae.
GGCAGAAGGCUCAGUUGAUAGAGCUUGAGAUUUGUAAUCUCAGGGUUAUGAGUUCAAGCCCCACGUUGGGCUA